This is a long non-coding RNA of Myripristis murdjan (pinecone soldierfish), 1866 nucleotides long. RefSeq lists it as uncharacterized. The transcript has 3 exons. NCBI's taxonomy places the organism in Eukaryota, Metazoa, Chordata, Actinopteri, Holocentriformes, Holocentridae. The record is from RefSeq and is a predicted model, not a curated record.
CUAAACCGGACAUUCCUAACAAUCGCAAUGGGCUGGAAUCUGUAAAAUAAAGAAAUCAGGUCUUGUGUUACACGUUGACAAUUGGGAUCUAAUCCCGCUCGGCUGUAAAUCGGCAGCAGGCCGCGAUCGCCGGUUCAAAGCGCAGAUCUGAGCGUGGAGAAUUCACCGCUGAAACGGUUAAAGCGGAGCAGAUGCGCGCACAGCGGCUCUCGGGCCCGCAGCUGCCGCACAAAUCAAAUCAGCGUCCCUGAGCGACAUGAAACUCUGUCAUCAGUCAGCAGCACCACGAGAAAGGAAUUACACCAACCGGGGCUGAGAGCAGCCACUGUGCGGCCAGCUGAGGCCCGGAGCCCGCGGCAGCAGCGUCCCCGCGCCCACCGAAACAUUUCCUUGGUUUUGAUCAGUGCUGAGAACAGCAGUAGAUGAGGCCUUCCUCUGAUCUUAACCUGCUAACAUCCCCUCUAUGUUGACUGAACACACUGAACUUCAAACUAUGCUCUCCUCUCUCUCUUAUGUUCAUCUUCAGCCAUCCUCCUCCUCUUGGAGCUGAAGCUUGUAACCCCGCCAACCUUUCAAGUUCAAGUCGCUGAGCAGGUGAUUAGGACAGAGGCGGUAUCCUAACCUCAUGGCCACACAGUCAAGACUCUCCUGUUACUCCAACACCUCGCACAUGGAAUGGCCUCUCAGGCUUCACACACACACACACACACACACACACACACACACACACACACACACACACACACACACACACACACACACACACAUCACAUGUAGACACAUGAGCCCUAGUUUCCUCUGUUUUUGGGACACAGCCGGCUCAGCAGGAUCUCAGAGUACACCUGGUUGACUGGUCCUCUCACGUGAUAGGAGGAGGCGUUGGAGGCCGUCCACUGGUCCGCGUCCUGCAGGACAGACUGACUGCUGAGUCCAGGUCCAGGUCCUGUCCCCGUCACUCUGCCUCUGCUGCUUCCGGACGUCGUGUCAUCUGCAUUGUGCUGAAGGAUCUUCAUCUUCCUGUGCAGCGGAGCUUUGGAAAACCACAACUUCUCAACCUGUGCACAGGGCCAGACAUCGCUUAGCUAAUAAAUACUACUACUAUUAAUAACAAGAAGACUCAGCCACUACUAGUGUGAGUACUUGAUUAUUAGUUAUUAUUAUUAACUUCAUUUGCACAUCACUUUUCAAAGCAAAGAGUUACAAAGUGCUUUACAUGCAAUAAAACAAUAAAGAAAAGCUGUUUGGAUUAACCAUAAUAGAGAGCCAAAGAGGCAAAUAAAAGGGACUGAAAACAAUUUAAUUGGUUAAUAUAAUACAUUAAAUAGGUUAACAAGGGACCACAAAAUGGCCUGGCAGCAAAAAUGUGUUUUAUGGGGUGAUUUAAAAGAUGGUAUAAGGGCGCUCCAAAGACUUCCUGUUGGAACAUGGACUGAGACAAACUUUUUCCAGCAACAAGCACUCACAGAAAAAAGCGAUGAUUUCGUUUACUCUGACAACGGUAAGAAGAAAGAAGAAUAUGAAAAAGUAACCAUUUUCUAGCAGCUGGCCAAUGGAAAUCAUUCUCAUCUACUGUGUACUUAGGAAAGAAUAUACUGAAAGAAUAAUGGUUUUAAAUAAUUUAAAAUUCUAUGCAAUGGGUUUUAAAUGGUGCACUUAUUUAAAAGAAGAAGAUGAUGAUGAAGAAGAAGACCGGAAGUGUAAAAAUAUGGAGAAGGACGGGGUGUAACACAGUGUUGUUGAUUCAAAUUAGAGAAGUAGACAUCAUAAAAUCAUGCCUGAGUCCCUCCUGGUGUAGGCAGGGCAUGAUUUGAAACUCAUCCAGUAAAACCUCUUGUUUCUGUCACAUCAGUGUCAGUCCCUCAGCCU